This 493-nucleotide ribosomal RNA is filed under the name uncultured bacterium. RNAcentral's name for it is "bacterial SSU rRNA". It matches the Rfam family "Bacterial small subunit ribosomal RNA", at positions 31 to 518 of the family's 1533-position model. The record is from RNAcentral.
GAACGCUAGCGACAGGCCUAACACAUGCAAGUCGAGGGGCAGCACAAGGAGCAAUCUGAGGUGGCGACCGGCGCACGGGUGAGUAACACGUAUGCAACCUGCCUGUAAGCGGGAAUAACCCGUGAAAGACGGACUAAUACCGCAUAAUACUAAAUUACUGCAUGGUAAUUUAUUUAAACAUUUAUGGCUUACAGAUGGGCAUGCGCAUGAUUAGCUAGUUGGAGAGGUAACGGCUCCCCAAGGCAACGAUCAUUAGGGGUUCUGAGAGGAAGGUCCCCCACACUGGUACUGAGACACGGACCAGACUCCUACGGGAGGCAGCAGUGAGGAAUAUUGGUCAAUGGACGAGAGUCUGAACCAGCCAAGUCGCGUGCAGGAAGAAUGUUCCCUAUGGAUUGUAAACUGCUUUUGCGAGGGGAAUAAAGUGCAUCACGUGUGAUGUUUUGUAUGUACUCUGCGAAUAAGGAUCGGCUAACUCCGUGCCAGCCGCCGC